UACGGGGGGAGCAAGCGUUGUUCGGAUUUACUGGGCGUAAAGGGCGCGUAGGCGGUCAGCACAAGUCAGUUGUGAAAUCUCCGGGCUUAACUCGGAACGGCCAAGUGAAACUGUCAAGCUAGAGUGCGGAAGGGGCAAUCGGAAUUCUUGGUGUAGCGGUGAAAUGCGUAGAUAUCAAGAGGAACACCUGAGGUGAAGACGGGUUGCUGGGCCGACACUGACGCUGAUGCGCGAAAGCCAGGGGAGCAAACGGG
RNAcentral lists this ribosomal RNA (254 nucleotides) under uncultured bacterium. RNAcentral's name for it is "partial 16S ribosomal RNA". It matches the Rfam family "Bacterial small subunit ribosomal RNA", at positions 524 to 776 of the family's 1533-position model. The record is from RNAcentral.